RNAcentral lists this ribosomal RNA (374 nucleotides) under uncultured organism. Its description in RNAcentral is "partial 16S ribosomal RNA". It matches the Rfam family "Bacterial small subunit ribosomal RNA", at positions 526 to 896 of the family's 1533-position model. The record is from RNAcentral.
GGAGGGGUGCAAGCGUUGUUCGGAAUUACUGGGCGUAAAGCGCGUGUAGGCGGCCUCUUAUGUCAGGGUGUGAAAGCCCUGGGCCCAACCCAGGAAGUGCGCCUGAAACUGAGAGGCUUGAGUACGAGAGAGGAGGACGGAAUUCCCAGUGUAGAGGUGAAAUUCGUAGAUAUUGGGAAGAACACCGGUGGCGAAAGCGGUUCUCUAGAUCGAUACUGACGCUAAGACGCGAAAGCGUGGGGAGCAAACAGGAUUAGAUACCCUGGUAGUCCACGCCGUAAACGAUGGAUACUAGUUGUUGCGAGCUUUUAAACUCGCAGUGACGACGCUAACGCAUUAAGUAUCCCGCCUGGGAAAGUACGGCCGCAAGGUUA